ACAUCCAGCGAAUUCGGUAGAGAUACCUUAGUGCCUUCGGGAACGCUGAGACAGGUGCUGCAUGGCUGUCGUCAGCUCGUGUUGUGAAAUGUUGGGUUAAGUCCCGCAACGAGCGCAACCCUUAUCCUUUGUUGCCAGCGGUCCGGCCGGGAACUCAAAGGAGACUGCCAGUGAUAAACUGGAGGAAGGUGGGGGUGACGUCAAGUCAUCAUGGCCCUUACGAGUAGGGCUACACACGUGCUACAAUGGCGCAUGCAAAGAGAAGCGACCUCGCGAGAGCAAGCGGACCUCAUAAAGUGCGUCGUAGUCCGGAUUGGAGUCUGCAACUCGACUCCAUGAAGUCGGAAUCGCUAGUAAUCGUAGAUCAGAAUGCUACGGUGAAUACGUUCCCGGGCCUUGUACACACCGCCCGUCACACCAUGGGAGUGGGUUGCAAAAGAAGUAGGUAGCUUAACCUUCGGGAGGGCGCUUACCACUUUGUGAUUCAUGACUGGGGUGAAGUCGUAACAAGGUAGGCGUAGCGAG
This 525-nucleotide ribosomal RNA is filed under the name uncultured bacterium. RNAcentral's name for it is "bacterial SSU rRNA". It matches the Rfam family "Bacterial small subunit ribosomal RNA", at positions 984 to 1509 of the family's 1533-position model. The record is from RNAcentral.